Molecule: ribosomal RNA, 405 nt
Filed under: uncultured bacterium
Lineage: Bacteria
Description: bacterial SSU rRNA
Rfam family: Bacterial small subunit ribosomal RNA
Source: RNAcentral
UGGGGAAUAUUGCGCAAUGGGGGAAACCCUGACGCAGCAACGCCGCGUGAAGGAUGAAGGUUUUCGGAUUGUAAACUUCUUUAGUCGGGGACGAAGAAAUGACGGUACCCGAAGAAUAAGCCACGGCUAACUACGUGCCAGCAGCCGCGGUAAUACGUAGGUGGCAAGCGUUGUCCGGAAUUACUGGGUGUAAAGGGCGUGUAGGCGGGAAGGCAAGUCAGAUGUGAAAUUCCGGGGCUCAACCCCGGCGCUGCAUCUGAAACUGUCUUUCUUGAGUGCUGGAGAGGAAAGCGGAAUUCCUAGUGUAGCGGUGAAAUGCGUAGAUAUUAGGAGGAACACCAGUGGCGAAGGCGGCUUUCUGGACAGUAACUGACGCUGAGGCGCGAAAGCGUGGGGAGCAAACAG